RNAcentral lists this ribosomal RNA (114 nucleotides) under Cladonia borealis. Its description in RNAcentral is "partial 28S ribosomal RNA". It matches the Rfam family "Eukaryotic large subunit ribosomal RNA", at positions 1 to 115 of the family's 3401-position model. Lineage: Eukaryota; Fungi; Ascomycota; Lecanoromycetes; Lecanorales; Cladoniaceae. The record is from RNAcentral.
GACCUCGGAUCAGGUAGGGAUACCCGCUGAACUUAAGCAUAUCAAUAAGCGGAGGAAAAGAAACCAACAGGGAUUGCCUCAGUAACGGCGAGUGAAGCGGCAACAGCUCAAAUA